Molecule: small RNA, 256 nt
Filed under: Pongo abelii (Sumatran orangutan)
Lineage: Eukaryota; Metazoa; Chordata; Mammalia; Primates; Hominidae
Description: retained intron
Source: RNAcentral
AUGACGGCUGCCCAAAGCCCCCCCAGAUUGCACAUGGCUAUGUGGAGCACUCGGUUCGCUACCAGUGUAAGAACUACUACAGACUGCGCACAGAAGGAGAUGGUAAGACCUGGACAACUGUCUCUGUGCCCUACAUACAACCCCCUUCUCUGACAUUUCCAUGAUGGAUGGUGCUGAGGUGAUUUGCCAGAAAGUUCAUUGCUCUCCUUGGAGCCAGGAGAUUUAGAUUCUAAUAAGCGUUUUGUCGCCAGUAGCC